CGGGGCCUCCGUCCUCUUCUGAGCCUCCGCGCUCGGUGGUCGUGGAGACCCCUGGUGUGGGAGCGCGGCGUGAGAGGCUUUUUUCGGGAGGCAGCUCCGCGUUGGGCGUCCAGGGAAGCCGGAGGUGAGAAGGUUGAGACAGAGAGAAAAGAAGCAAUUUAUCCAAGGUCACCUAGAAAGCUAAUAAUACUUCAGGAACGAAAACCAAUGAAUCCUGAGGUGCAUGCUGUUUUCCUUCCAACUGUUCCAAGUUUCCCGAGGAAACAAACAUCUCCACUGAAGUUUCCAAUCAGCGUCUGGAUACCCUUCCUAUUACUGCAGCAAACCUAACACUGAGGAAUGGCUGCUCAGUGCACUGAAAAAAGAGAUCAUGUGAAAACAAGGUAACAAUGCAGUGUUUCGGCAUAUCCACAAGGUUUUGAUGAGUAAACACAGACAGAUCUAAUUCUGAUGCUGUCUAACUUGUGGAUACUUGACUUUGCAUGCCAAUAAUACUUCUCAAGAUAAACUGUGUGUACAAUAUGAUCUGAAAUUGAAUAGCUGCCUUUCCUCAUCUACAAUAACAUACACAGAAGCAUCUGGUCUGGCUGAAAUGUACAUGUUUGCCAGACAUUUG
Molecule: long non-coding RNA, 616 nt
Organism: Cygnus olor (mute swan)
Lineage: Eukaryota; Metazoa; Chordata; Aves; Anseriformes; Anatidae
Exons: 3
Source: RefSeq, a predicted model, not a curated record